Molecule: long non-coding RNA, 1255 nt
Organism: Rosa rugosa (rugosa rose)
Lineage: Eukaryota; Viridiplantae; Streptophyta; Magnoliopsida; Rosales; Rosaceae
Exons: 3
Source: RefSeq, a predicted model, not a curated record
UCUCUCUCUGCGUCGCCAGCCGCAGCACCGCCGGUACCCCAAUCAACACCAAAAAAUUUAGAUUUUCUCCUAUUUAUUCCUUCUAUCCAUUUCUCAAACCAAAAUCGUGAGAUUUAGCCAUCCAAUCAUCCAAAAAUCCUAGAACCCGAAAUCAAUUUGGGAGUUUUUGUGAUUUCUUCAUUCCAAGUCCAAAUCAAGGUGAAGAAGGCUAAGGAGGAGGAGAGACCGUGAGUUUUUGGAGAAGAAAGGGAAACACGAUCAUUAAGGAAGCUUAAGCGGAAAGCACCGGAGUGUGGAAUACGCCGACAUUUCCAGGUAGGGUGAGCUGUCUCUUCCUUGUUAGAGACUUUUCUAUAUAUGUGGAAUGCUCUAGUAUAAUAGUACGUUGCCUGUAAAUAAGUUUUUGGUUGUUCAUUAGUUGAUACCUCAUGAUAUCUGUGUUUUCAUAACUGAUAAUUGUUGAUUGCGAAAACUGAGGCUAGACUUGCGUGUUGAGAUAUUGUACCCCAAUGUAUGUAUGUACUUGUGAUCUGAAAGUGAAUGGGACCUAGACAUGUUGAUUCCUAGUCAUCCCACAGUGUCGAUAACCGUGAAUCUCCGGAGGGGGCUGUGCUUCUAUGUGCAUCGAGGAAAGAUAAGUACCAACGGUGAACCAGUCAUAGGACACUCAGGGCCAAGAAAUGGAUACUUUCGCUACUCGUAUUGACAAGGACUACAGAGUAGUUGGCUGGUUCUCGAAGAAUGAUGAACAGGUCGGUCACCGAUUGUUUUAGAAUAGCCGGCAGGUAAGUAUCUCGGAGCUCCAAAUUGUGUGAAGCAUGCUGCAUAUGAUUUUCUGAAAAAGACAACGAUGAUUGUUUUUGUUUGAAUUUGUUUUACUCGAUUUUACAAAUGCGCACAAUCUAUAUUCUAGUAGCUAUGUUCUACUUAUUAGUUUUCAAACCUAACUAAGGUUGGGUCGGCCCCUAUUGGGCUAGUGAGGACGAAAUGCUCACCCCUACAUUUCAGGUUACAAUGAGGUCACUCCAGACGAUCUGGAAUAGAAGUGGGUCAUUGGCCGAGUUCGUGUGUUGAUGUCCCUGUAGCUUGAAGUCCUUCCCUUUUGGUACUAUAUCAAUUUACUCGUUUUCCUUUCAAUGUUGAACUCAGUUGAAUUCUAUGAGGUCUACCUAUCUGGGAGCGCGCCUCACUCUAUGCUUUAUUGUUGCUAUUAACCUCCUAUUAUUUCGGUUAUGAUGUAAGCCCUAUGGCGUCA